Mauremys mutica (yellowpond turtle) is the source of this 843-nucleotide long non-coding RNA. RefSeq lists it as uncharacterized. The transcript has 5 exons. The record is from RefSeq and is a predicted model, not a curated record. NCBI's taxonomy places the organism in Eukaryota, Metazoa, Chordata, Testudines, Geoemydidae.
AACAGCUCCUAGUUCUCACUCUGGCCCCCUAGUGUCUCUCUCUGCCUCAGCUGAGUGUGAUCUUUGGGUGAGCCACAGUUUGCUUUCUGGCCCCUCCUACUGCUUCAACACAAUUCGUGAGGAAAAGCACCUGGAGACCCAGAAUUCAAUCACUGAGGAUUUGCAACAAGAAUUGCACAGGGUCAGCUUCCCCUCAAUCAAGUCCAAAAGAACAAGAGAAAUUAACUUAAUUUAAAUCUCCAGCUGGAACACACAGACUCUCUGCUGGACUGUGGAAUGGCUCAGUUAGCUAACUAAUUAACAACCCAAUCAGUAUUAAAUGUAUAACUGGAAAACCCUGCUCCAAGAAAGAUACAAACCUGAGAACAGCAAGCUAGAGAUGACUCUUUCUUUACUACCACUUUGAGACAACAGAAGAGCUGGUGAACCAGACAGAUUCAGAGAAUUUGGCUAAAGUCAAACAACAUUCAAGUCGCAGUGACUCAAUCCCAUCAACAUGGAAAUUAACAGCUCUGCUUCAGUCUACUCCAGGCUUAAGCCAAAGUUUUGAUCCACAUGGGAGAGAGACGAAACAUGCUCUGGACUUUGGAAGCAGAUUCUGGCCUGAGAAUUUGUUCAGCAGUGUUACUGGAAACAUGUGUAACCAUUUCUGACUUCAAUGCCUUACACUUGUACUCACUUAAAAGAUGCCCUAGCUGCCAUUCCCCAGCUUCCAGUGAUGCAGGACCUGGACCAAACACCAACUCACAAAGAUGCAGAGGAGGCUUUCAAAGAGACUGUGCCUGGGAAAGCAGCAGGCAACCACCAGAUGCCUCCAGAGCUCCUAAGGGCAGGGGGAGGAAG